RNAcentral lists this non-coding RNA (24 nucleotides) under Rattus norvegicus (Norway rat). The record is from RNAcentral. Lineage: Eukaryota; Metazoa; Chordata; Mammalia; Rodentia; Muridae.
UCUGGGAACAGAACAUCCCAGUGG